GAUGAACGCUGGCGGCGUGCCUAAUACAUGCAAGUCGAGCGAACAGAUGAGGAGCUUGCUCCUCUGACGUUAGCGGCGGACGGGUGAGUAACACGUGGAUAACCUACCUAUAAGACUGGGAUAACUUCGGGAAACCGGAGCUAAUACCGGAUAAUAUAUUGAACCGCAUGGUUCAAUAGUGAAAGACGGUUUUGCUGUCACUUAUAGAUGGAUCCGCGCCGCAUUAGCUAGUUGGUAAGGUAACGGCUUACCAAGGCAACGAUGCGUAGCCGACCUGAGAGGGUAAUCGGCCACACUGGACCUGAGACACGGUCCAGACUCCUACGGGAGGCCGCAGUAGGGAAUCUUCCGCAAUGGGCGAAAGCCUGACGGAGCAACGCCGCGUGAGUGAUGAAGGUCUUCGGAUCGUAAAACUCUGUUAUUAGGGAAGAACAAAUGUGUAAGUAACUAUGCACGUCUUGACGGUACCUAAUCAGAAAGCCACGGCUAACUACGUG
This 497-nucleotide ribosomal RNA is filed under the name uncultured bacterium. RNAcentral describes it as "partial 16S ribosomal RNA". It matches the Rfam family "Bacterial small subunit ribosomal RNA", at positions 28 to 507 of the family's 1533-position model. The record is from RNAcentral.